RNAcentral lists this ribosomal RNA (433 nucleotides) under Chryseobacterium sp. ET-I15. RNAcentral's name for it is "bacterial SSU rRNA". It matches the Rfam family "Bacterial small subunit ribosomal RNA", at positions 994 to 1432 of the family's 1533-position model. Lineage: Bacteria; Pseudomonadati; Bacteroidota; Flavobacteriia; Flavobacteriales; Weeksellaceae. The record is from RNAcentral.
AUCGGUUUAGAAAUAGACCUUCCUUCGGGCAAUUUUCAAGGUGCUGCAUGGUUGUCGUCAGCUCGUGCCGUGAGGUGUUAGGUUAAGUCCUGCAACGAGCGCAACCCCUGUCACUAGUUGCUAGCAUUAAGUUGAGGACUCUAGUGAGACUGCCUACGCAAGUAGAGAGGAAGGUGGGGAUGACGUCAAAUCAUCACGGCCCUUACGCCUUGGGCCACACACGUAAUACAAUGGCCGGUACAGAGGGCAGCUACACAGCGAUGUGAUGCAAAUCUCGAAAGCCGGUCUCAGUUCGGAUUGGAGUCUGCAACUCGACUCUAUGAAGCUGGAAUCGCUAGUAAUCGCGCAUCAGCCAUGGCGCGGUGAAUACGUUCCCGGGCCUUGUACACACCGCCCGUCAAGCCAUGGAAGUCUGGGGUACCUGAAGUCGGUG